GACGAACGCUGGCGGCGUGCUUAACACAUGCAAGUCGAACGGAAAGGCCCUGCUUUUGUGGGGUGCUCGAGUGGCGAACGGGUGAGUAACACGUGAGUAACCUGCCCUUGACUUUGGGAUAACUUCAGGAAACUGGGGCUAAUACCGGAUAGGAGCUCCUGCUGCAUGGUGGGGGUUGGAAAGUUUCGGCGGUUGGGGAUGGACUCGCGGCUUAUCAGCUUGUUGGUGGGGUAGUGGCUUACCAAGGCUUUGACGGGUAGCCGGCCUGAGAGGGUGACCGGCCACAAUGGGACUGAGAUACGGCCCAGACUCCUACGGGAGGCAGCAGUGGGGAAUAUUGCACAAUGGGCGGAAGCCUGAUGCAGCAACGCCGCGUGCGGGAUGACGGCCUUCGGGGUGUAAACCGCUUUCGCCUGUGACGAAGCGUGAGUGACGGUAAUGGGUAAAGAAGCACCGGCUAACUACGUG
This 468-nucleotide ribosomal RNA is filed under the name uncultured bacterium. RNAcentral's name for it is "partial 16S ribosomal RNA". It matches the Rfam family "Bacterial small subunit ribosomal RNA", at positions 28 to 507 of the family's 1533-position model. The record is from RNAcentral.